UACGUAGGGGGCGAGCGUUGUCCGGAUUCAUUGGGCGUAAAGCGCGCGUAGGCGGCUUCGCAAGUCGGCCGUGAAAUCUCCGGGCUCAACUCGGAGGGGUCGGGCGAGACUGCGAGGCUCGAGGUGGGCAGAGGGCAGUGGAAUUCCGGGUGUAGUGGUGGAAUGCGUAGAGAUCCGGAGGAACACCAGUGGCGAAGGCGGCUGCCUGGGCCUGGCCUGACGCUGAGGCGCGAAAGCGUGGGGAGCAAUCCGGG
RNAcentral lists this ribosomal RNA (254 nucleotides) under uncultured bacterium. Its description in RNAcentral is "partial 16S ribosomal RNA". It matches the Rfam family "Bacterial small subunit ribosomal RNA", at positions 524 to 777 of the family's 1533-position model. The record is from RNAcentral.